UACGGAGGGUGCAAGCGUUAUCCGGAUUUACUGGGUUUAAAGGGAGCGCAGGCGGAUUGGUAAGUCAAUGGUGAAAUACCCGUGCUUAACAUGGGAACUGCCAUUGAUACUAUCAGUCUUGAAUAUCGUUGAGGUUUGCGGAAUGGGUCAUGUAGCGGUGAAAUGCAUAGAUAUGACCCGGAACACCUAUUGCGAAGGCAGCAGGCUAAACGAAGAUUGACGCUGAGGCUCGAAAGCGUGGGGAUCAAACAGG
Molecule: ribosomal RNA, 253 nt
Filed under: uncultured bacterium
Lineage: Bacteria
Description: partial 16S ribosomal RNA
Rfam family: Bacterial small subunit ribosomal RNA
Source: RNAcentral